UUGUCUCUUUACUUAUGGAAUUUGUUAUUUCUCCUUCAUUUUCUAAAGGUUUUUUCAAGGCUUUAACAGAAGUUUGGGUAUAAUUAUUAAGAAUCACUAUAGUAUAAGCACAGUCUAGAAACCAAUUAAAUUUUCUCUGUGUUACAUAUCAAUUUGGUAAGGACUAUGUAAUUCCUGCCAUGAGGUGGAAAUACUGGAUUCUUCUCUUGGCCCUAAGUUUCGUUUAUUGACCUGUUGUUGGUCCAUCUCUCUAGAACUCUCGGCUGAGCUUCAGGCCUUACAUUCAUAUCUGACUUCAGCGAUUUGUCUUCUUGUCUCAAUAAGUGUAAGAAGUGGGUAGAGGAUGGAAAGGGAGAAGAAAGGAUUAAAGUUAAGCCUGAAUGUUUCAUUCUCCACCUUAACAUGACCGCAUCUACUAAUAGCCAAUAAAAUGAAUUGGCCUCUCUACUGGGCUGCUUGACCUUCCUCAUGACAUGGCAGUUGGUUUUUCCCAGAGCAGAUAAGAACAACCAUGAUUCAAUAUGUGAGUAGGCUAUACAGGAGACAGGAACCAUUGGGAGCCAUUUUGAACACUCUCUACUACAGGAUCAAAAGCAAAUAAUUACAAAACAGUACAUCAAUGCAACAAUGGCAUUAUAUGUAAGCAUUAAUAUAGAAUUUUGGAGGGAAAUCACGAGAAAACUGAAGACAUCUGUCCACCAAGAAAAGCACAAAAGCUAUAAACUGAAGAUAGAUAUAUUUUCAACUAACUGCAGUCUUCAAGUAAGCAGCUGUUAUUUUAAAAAGCAGAAGUAGAGAUACAGAGCACUACGAUCUCAAAUAGAAUUGAGAUUUAAAAUUAUGCAUAAGGAAUUAACAUACUUUAAUCCUAAAGAAAGAGAAAAAAUAUAUUAAAGGUCAUCGUGACUAGAACCUUUAAUUGGCAAAAAGCUUGUAUUCACACAUCUUAUCAGAUGAUUUCCAUUUGUGAGCCAUUCUUGAUUCUAAUUCUCAUUUCAUUAUAACAAAGUUAUAACAAAAAGGAAAACUACCACAUUUCAGCAAAUCAAAAGAUAACCUCAAAUAUCUCCUUCACCUCCAUCCUUCAAUUGUUGCUUGAAGGAAUUGUACACCCAAAAGCACAUAUACACACACUAAUAUAAGUACCACUAAAUGCCAUGCAGUAUCAUCUAUGAGGGAAACACUGCCACUCAAAUACACAGAGUUGUAAAUAUUCUCAUUUAUAUUUUUGUCAUUUUAUAAACAUUUCUGAUAUUAGCAUCAAGAAAACAAAGGAACAAAAAUAACAGUUUCUAAAUAAAAUAAAAAAGUGUAAACUUAGAAUGUCUAUGAUUUAACAAAUAAAAAUUUUUCUCUUCCUCCCUCUCUCCUUCCUUCCCUCCCUUCCUCCCUCCUUCCUUCCUUUUCUUUCCCUCUUUCUCUUUCUUUCUUUUUCUUUCCCUUUCUUUCAUCUGUCUUGCAAAUACUCUUCUUAUCCCUGAUCUAUUCAUGUGUUCUCACCUGGGAAGAACAAAGCUUUACCUUUAUAUUACAACAGCUAAAAUAGUUCACAGGAAAUUAACUGAAGUUCCUUGGAAAUUUUUCAUGUUCAAAUACUUCAACUUUGUGUUCAGAUAUUCUAUUUACUGCCUUGGGCACUGUUAUUUACCCAUUCUGAAUUAGGUUGCUUCAUCUAUUUAAUGGGAAUAAAAUAACAAUACCUAGAGAUGGCAGUUGUGAAUCAUACAAGUUUUUGUAGAUCUUCUUAGUAUAAGAUUAAUAAUUCUGUUUUAAACACAUUAUCCAAAGUUGCAACAAAAAAUAUGACUAGAAUGCAUUCUCCAGUUGUAAAUUUGGCAAUCAACUCUGAAGGGUUGUGUUCAAAAAGAAAAUCCAUGAAUGUCAGUUAUGUAUGUAUGUUUGGAUAAUAGAGAUGAUGUAUAAAAUAUAUCUAAUGCAAACCAAGCAAACUUUUAAUUUUUAUGUCAGCACAAAUAACUCCCUAUUGUAAACAAGAGUUACCUUCUAUAGUCAGUAAACAAGAAAGGUUGACAUAUUUUUAAAUCUAAUAAAUAAAUAAAAUAUCUAAUGCAAUGUUAAGCAUAUAUUAGUUGGUCAAUAUUGUUUGUAAACUUGAAUUUAAAACUCUUCAUAGAAUCAUGUGUUCUAACAUCUUACUCUCUCAAGGAAUUCCUACUACAACCUCAGUGCAUUUAAGUACAUGUAUGUAGUGGGAAGCUCAUUUUCUUAAGACAGAGGCUGUUGCAUUAUUAGACAAUUCUAAUUGCUGAUACAUUCUAUCUUAAGUUGAAUUCAAAUAUAUGUUUCAAUAAUUUACACUCAUGAGAUCUAUUAAUUCCCUGUGGAGAAACAGACAACAUAUUUAUUUUCUCUACAAUAGUAGUCCUUUAAAUAUUUGAAGACAACAUCCAUCUCUCUAGCUAUUCCUUCACGUUUUACAAGAUUUUAAAAUACAUUACUUUUUUAUUUUUUAGUGUGUAGUCAAUUUUAAUUUUUGUUGUGAACAGAUAUAUAUUGCUACAGUGAUUUGUUAAGGGAAAAAAGAAGAAAAAUAAUAAUGUAAAGUGUGAAAAAAAAAAGUGCUGGUGUCCUCAUUAAAAUGUGAUUAAAUGUUUAAACUUCCAGUACAUUAACACUGACAUUUUGUCUUUUAAACAGUGUCAGGUAAUGAAGGUCAACACAAGCAAGCGUUCUGUUUCUGGCCCUUAGUUAGAAGCACACUGUACUUGGACUUCACAGCAGGGAACUGUCAGGCACGGUUCUCCUCUGUGCUGCUUCUCUCUAAGUACUAGCUUGCAGCUGGCUCCAGCACAUGGUAGUGUAUGGAGAUAUUUUCUGGGGUCCACUGCUUCAAUCACUAUUUAAUGAUUAAUUACUGCAGUCUGAUGCCAGGGUGAGACAUUCAAUGCUUCAGGUAAAAAUCUUAACUAUAGAAAAUGACAGCAGGCAGGGUUUUGAAAGCUGAGUUGACUUUGUAUUUCUUCUGAAGAAUUUACCCGAUUUUUCUAUCCACUUGUAAGGAGUGAGGUGAAAAAAGACAAAAUUGUCAAGUAGCAAACGCCAACCAACAAUGACAGGGGUGGUAUUCAGCAGAAUAGUCUAUGAUUGUCACUCACAAUGAGAAUAGUGCAGACAGAUAGACAAUAACUAACUCUCUACUGGAAACCAAGCAAACAACUUUCAAUUGACAUUCGGGAUAUAAUGGCUCUGAGCUGUGAAAAGAGUCUUCUGACAAUGUGCCUUGUAAGCAAAUAAGGGUGAGAUACGUUUUCUACCAAUGUAUGUUUUUGAACUCCCUGUACCCUGAAGUAUGAGGGGAACAUAUUCUUUAUGAUAUAUAAUAUUUAGUGGUAAAAUAAAUAGUUUGGUAAAAAGACUACCCUAAUAUUAAAGUAGUAUAAUUGUCUAUUUUUAUUUCUCAGUAAUUGCCUGUAACUUUGAACCAUUUAUAUUGAAAGAAAUUUUAGUUUAAAAAUAAUGCAGCAAUAUGACAGCUAAUACUGACAUGAAUCAUGCAAGUUGAAAGAGGAACUUUGUAUUCUGAUAAAUUUGGAUAAUUUAAAAUAAUCCAGUAAUUAUUAAAAUGUUCACUAAUUAAUCUUUUUUGUUCAUAAAUUUUAACUAUUUCUGGUUUUCUACAAAACCAGUAACAGCUUUCUUUUCAUAUAAUAUGUGUUUUUCUUCAGUAUAGUUACCUUGAAACAAGCUCAAAAUACUUUUAAGCAACAAGAAAUAUUUUUAAAAAUUGCCAAGUAACUAUUAUUCAAUGAUAUUGGACGUUAUCCUUUGCAUGUGGCUUGGUAAUGGAUAAAGAGAUAAUUAGAAUGUUUUAAGGAUAUAAAAGCAAUUUAUGCAGAUAGGAAUACAAUACCUAUUUGUUUAAUAGAUUCUAGAUCACCCAUCUAUAAA
RNAcentral lists this long non-coding RNA (3909 nucleotides) under Homo sapiens (human). RNAcentral describes it as "HSALNT0186196". The record is from RNAcentral. Lineage: Eukaryota; Metazoa; Chordata; Mammalia; Primates; Hominidae.